CUUCGGGAACUCUGAGACACCGUGCUGCUUGGCUGUCGUCAGCUCGUGUUGUGAAAUGUUGGGUUUAGUCCCGCAAAGGAGCGGUCAACCCUUUUUCCNUUUGUUGCCAGCGGUCCGGCCGGGAACUCAAAGGAGACUGCCAGUGAUAAACUGGAGGAAGGUGGGGAUGACGUCAAGUCAUCAUGGCCCUUACGAGUAGGGCUACACACGUGCUACAAUGGCGCAUACAAAGAGAAGCGACCUCGCGAGAGCAAGCGGACCUCAUAAAGUGCGUCGUAUCCGGAUUGGAGUCUGCAACUCGACUCCAUGAAGUCGGAAUCGCUAGUAAUCGUAGAUCAGAAUGCUACGGUGAAUACGUUCCCGGGUCU
This 368-nucleotide ribosomal RNA is filed under the name Enterobacter cloacae. RNAcentral's name for it is "bacterial SSU rRNA". It matches the Rfam family "Bacterial small subunit ribosomal RNA", at positions 1018 to 1381 of the family's 1533-position model. The record is from RNAcentral. Lineage: Bacteria; Pseudomonadati; Pseudomonadota; Gammaproteobacteria; Enterobacterales; Enterobacteriaceae.